CUUGAGGAGAUCGGGUCCAUCUUUAGACCGGGUCCAUUGUUAGACCAGGUCCAUCUUUAGAUCGGGUCCAUCAUUAGACCAGGUCCAUCCUUAGACCAGGUCCAUCUUUAGACCAGGUCCAUUGUUAGUUUUUAGCUCAAAAUAAAAGCACAGAAAACAAGGAAGUAAAAGAUGAAUGUCCGAACCUGAAGCCCCUCCUCCUCCUCCUCCUCCUCCUCUUUCUCCUCCUCAUCUUCAUCUCAGAUCGUCGUACUGUAACUCCAGUCUGACGGAUCUGCUUCUCUUCGGGGGGAGGUCCCUAUUCCGUUGGGGACGGUCCUUAUUCCGUCGGGGGCAGGUCCUAUUCAAGGCGGGGGGCGGUCCGACACGGCAGCGUUUUUAACGGACAUUUUCUAUCUUAUUUUGACGUCUGUCUGUCUGAAGAGGAAGCCCCGCCUCUGCCAUGACAUCAAGUGCCUUCAGACUCAAAGGAGGAGGAGCCUAUCAGCGAACAGAACCCGGACGGCACCAGACAAUGACAUCAUCGCACAGACGACCUCGGAUUAUGCAGAAAAAACAUUGACGUUUGCAGACAUUUUUGAAGCCAUGACAGGAGACGACGAACCUGCGAUCAGAAGCGGAGCACGCGACCAUAAAAGGACUUCCUGUCGGACCCGGACAGGACUCCGAACUGUCGUAGUUUUUAAGAAGUUUUCAGACUGGGACACUUCCUGAAACCAUCAGUUACCUUAAAAAACAGGAAGAAACAUGUAAAAUCCGUCUUAUAUUGUUAUGAUAUUCAGAAGAAAAGGGGAAUAUUUACAGGUUUAUGUCUGAUCAUGUGAUCAUGUGGGCGGAGUUUCAGUUCAGGGUUUUCUGGGUUUAUAUGGUUUGUGUUUGUUUUUUUGCUGAACUAAAAAAAAGACACUCCCAAAAAGACAAAAUCUGAGUCAAGUAUUUAUUAUUAACGUCAGAAAAAUGGUUUAAGAGAAAACAGCAUCAGAAUUCAUGAAGAAAUAUUUUU
Long non-coding RNA from Sphaeramia orbicularis (orbiculate cardinalfish), 1003 nucleotides. RefSeq lists it as uncharacterized. The record is from RefSeq and is a predicted model, not a curated record. Lineage: Eukaryota; Metazoa; Chordata; Actinopteri; Kurtiformes; Apogonidae. The transcript is spliced from 3 exons.